Molecule: long non-coding RNA, 439 nt
Organism: Chanos chanos (milkfish)
Lineage: Eukaryota; Metazoa; Chordata; Actinopteri; Gonorynchiformes; Chanidae
Exons: 3
Source: RefSeq, a predicted model, not a curated record
GAGAGCAGAGCUCUAUAAGACUGCACUACAGAGAGCAUCAAAACACCAGAGGAUAGUAAGAGAGAUUUCUGAAACAAACGGCCAGCAAGUUGAGAAGUUCUGACGCCAUAACACAAACACUGUUUAAUGAAUCUAAUGAGACUCUACAAGUGAUUUAAAGUGUGCAAAGGCAGAAAAACCAGCAAUCAAAGACCAACCAAAGGGUUCCCCAACUUUAUGAAAAGACUGAAUUACAAGCAGCUUCCUCUAGUCAAGGGCAAGACCGGUCAUUUGUGAAAGCCUCCAGGCCAUCUGUGAGAGACAGAGCUGCUCUCUACCUGUCAAAAGCAGCAGCUGCAGACUCCCCAGGAUCCACCACACAACAAGAUAGUCUGGUUCAUAAGCAUACUAUUGUGUCUGGAAAGAAAACAAAACACAAGGUAUGGCUUUCAUAUUUCAU